This 440-nucleotide ribosomal RNA is filed under the name uncultured bacterium. RNAcentral describes it as "partial 16S ribosomal RNA". It matches the Rfam family "Bacterial small subunit ribosomal RNA", at positions 338 to 795 of the family's 1533-position model. The record is from RNAcentral.
CCUACGAGGUGCAGCAGUGGGGAAUAUUGCACAAUGGGGGAAACCCUGAUGCAGCGACGCCGCGUGAGUGAGGAAGUAUUUCGGUAUGUAAAGCUCUAUCAGCAGGGAAGAAAAUGACGGUACCUGACUAAGACGCCCCGGCUAACUACGUGCCAGCAGCCGCGGUCAUACGUAGGGGGCAAGCGUUAUCCGGAUUUACUGGGUGUAACGGGAGCGUAGACGGUUAAUCAAGUCAGAAGUGAAAACCCAGGGCUCAACCUUGGGACUGCUUUUGAAACUGAGUAGCUAGAGUGCAGGAGAGGUAAGCGGAAUUCCUAGUGUAGCGGUGAAAUGCGUAGAUAUUAGGAGGAACACCAGUGGCGAAGGCGGCUUACUGGACUGUAACUGACGUUGAGGCUCGAAAGCGUGGGGAGCAAACAGGAUUAGAUACCCGAGUAGUC